RNAcentral lists this long non-coding RNA (407 nucleotides) under Nicotiana tabacum (common tobacco). RNAcentral's name for it is "long non-coding RNA (NTAB_LNC016047)". The record is from RNAcentral. Lineage: Eukaryota; Viridiplantae; Streptophyta; Magnoliopsida; Solanales; Solanaceae.
GUGGGUAAGUGCCACAACUUGCUGGCGGUGAUGGAAGUCCGUGAUGAAAUAGGAGGUGAUGGCAUAAACUCAUCAGUCACCUCAACACUCCUCGGUAUAUUCUUAAAGUUCUGAGUAUAGGUAAAAAUUGGUGAUGAAUUUUCUAUUUGUGAAUUUCCAGGUUUUCGGUGUGAUUCAAAAGAUGGCUGCUCAAUGUCAAGCUUUCCAUAGCUCUAAGGCGGCAACAGGUGAAGUUGAAAGGAUCGAGAAGUAUGUGCAUUUGUGAGUUCAUCCGUAAUUAUAAGCCUAGAUCCAUUGCAGGGGCGGUCCAAAAAGGAUUGGCGGCCUAAAACCAAUUUUUAAUGUGGGACCCAUCAGAAAGAAGAAAAAAAAUUCAUCUAUAUUUUUAAUGGAAGUCUAUUUUUCUA